RNAcentral lists this ribosomal RNA (468 nucleotides) under uncultured bacterium. Its description in RNAcentral is "partial 16S ribosomal RNA". It matches the Rfam family "Bacterial small subunit ribosomal RNA", at positions 28 to 507 of the family's 1533-position model. The record is from RNAcentral.
GACGAACGCUGGCGGCGUGCUUAACACAUGCAAGUCGAACGGAAAGGCCCUGCUUUUGUGGGGUGCUCGAGUGGCGAACGGGUGAGUAACACGUGAGUAACCUGCCCUUGACUUUGGGAUAACUUCAGGAAACUGGGGCUAAUACCGGAUAGGAGCUCCUGCUGCAUGGUGGGGGUUGGAAAGUUUCGGCGGUUGGGGAUGGACUCGCGGCUUAUCAGCUUGUUGGUGGGGUAGUGGCUUACCAAGGCUUUGACGGGUAGCCGGCCUGAGAGGGUGACCGGCCACAUUGGGACUGGGAUACGGCCCAGACUCCUACGGGAGGCAGCAGUGGGGAAUAUGGCACAAUGGGCGGAAGCCUGAUGCAGCAACGCCGCGUGCGGGAUGACGGCCUUCGGGUUGUAAACCGCUUUCGCCUGUGACGAAGCGUGAGUGACGGUAAUGGGUAAAGAAGCACCGGCUAACUACGUG